RNAcentral lists this long non-coding RNA (2238 nucleotides) under Gallus gallus (chicken). RNAcentral's name for it is "lncRNA (ENSGALG00010025240.1)". Lineage: Eukaryota; Metazoa; Chordata; Aves; Galliformes; Phasianidae. The record is from RNAcentral.
CAUGGAUGGCGGGGGAUGCAGCUCAGCCAGGGCCGAGCAGAGCAGUGGGUGUGCAGCUGCUUGGUGGGGCAGCACUGUGGGAGGAGUGCAGAGUGGGACCUGGGGGGACAGAGAUGGCUGCUGGAAGGAAGAGCCGUUCUGUAGAGCUGCUGCUCUGCUGCCUCUCUGCUCAGGGACCUCCGUGGGGAGUCAGCAAAGAGGGGCUGAGCAGCAUGAUGGUGCCAGUCACCACUGUUGCUGGGUUGGUGCCUCAGUGCCCUGGCUCGCUCGCUGCCUUAGCCCACCCUGGGGACUCAGAGGGAACAGAAAGAACCCGAGCAGGUGAGAGAGAAGUUACAGAGGUGCUCAGUUGCCUUGAAUUCCCCCUGGAGCAUCCCGGCCUGCUGCUAGACAUCUGAGUAUCACAGAAGACCCAAGCAUAUAACACAGUGAAGGACGGUUUGGGGACGAUUGCAAAGCACUCAGGAGAAGGAUUCAUGGAGCCGAGGACCAGGACUCGCAUCAAAGACAGACUGAUGGGAUGCUGUUGUGACAAGAGGAGAGGACAGGAUUGCCCACUGGAUGAGGAGUUGUGGAGCAGUACUCAAGGAAAUCCCAUCGAUCAGACCGAUUCAGCAGAGACUUUGCCUUGCAGCCAUCAGACAUACCAACUCUGGCCUCCCCACUGCAAAACCCAACUUGGAUACAGGGAGGAAGCAUUGCUGCCUGGCAUGUUUCUACCAUUCCUGAGGACAUCCUGGGGCAGAAAGUGGCACUUGAAUGCCAGAAGGCCUGCAUACCUCUGCUAGUCCAGGCUCCAGCACCUCUCUGCUGCCCAGAAGAUAUCAGCAUCUUGGGACUGAUGGGGAAAUUCACUGUUCACUGCUUUAAUGGAACUUUCUGAUAUGGCAUUAUAUCCAUUUGGUUGAUUUUCUCCUCUGCAGCUGAUAUUAGUUUUAUACAAAGAUUAUGGAGUGAGUGUUCCUAGACUGGAAGACAUGGGAUUACUCUGUACUUGGGUUUGUUUGAUCCUCAUUAAUUCCUUUCCCCAAAAACAGUGACAUCCUAAAGAAGAACUACUGCAAAUGUCUCAUUCUCUGCACAGGGGCAUAACUUCCCAGUGAGUUUGUUUUCUGCUUGCUAGCACUUACUAAUGCCUAAAAACAACUUCUGCAAGAGGAAAGCACGAGGCAGCAACUCUUUGCCCAUGCAAUUACAGUGAUUGUCUACACAAAUCAAGUGUUUUUGUAUGCAAAUGGCCAGUAAGCAUCUAGUGGAUGCAAUGGCUUGAAUUUCAAUUUGCAGUGAAUAGUCACAUAUGCAAACACGUGUUAAAAUGUGUAUAUAUUAAUAUCUUACAAUCAUCAACCUCCUUUUCAAAUAUUAUUUGGCUCACGUCAUUUAAAAACUCUUCAGUGUGCCAUAUGUAACCUCUUACAAGUGAAUAGUGAUUCUUCUAAAAGUAAUGAUGACUGUUAACUCCCAGUCACUGCAAUGCUUCCAGAUACGGUAGGAAGUACAUUCCCAAUAAUUAGUAAUUAGCAGUAACUAUUUUAUGGAGCAGAAAAGAGUUGAUUACAGUUGUUUUAUCAGAUGGUAUAAUAAUAGAAAAAAAUCUUGUUUCAGAGAAAGGAGGAAAAGGGGUGAUUUCACAAAGUUGGCUCUCACUUGCCAGCCGUCCAUCACUGAAACUACAGCUUCAGGGAUCAGGAAUUAUUGAUUUCAAAGGGAUUAACUCUCAGCUACAGAUAGUUCAGUUUCAGGGCAUCAUUUGUAAGCUGAGCUGUAGCCAUAAACCAGCUGGCACUGGGGGCCUGAUCCAAAACUCACUCAAAUGACUCGGACAGCAAUUUCAGGGGGAUCUUUGGGUUAAUAAGUCCCCAGCUGGGAGGGCAGCUUGAGAGAAGUCUCCGUUCUCAGAGCAUCUGGCACAAGGGAGAGGCCCAUUUAAAGACAAUUUCUUCAAGGCACAAGAAAAGUGGUUUCUGAAAUGAGGAAGGGGCUUGUUUCAUCAAAGUGAGCUACGUGCACCCAGCUCACGUUAAUUCCUUCACAGCCUCUACUGCCUUUUGAGCUGGCAGAGGAAGAAGAGCAGGUAAACAUCAGGUCUGCUCACACCAGGCUCUCCCUUCUAACGCUUACUGAGUUAAUUAAUUUUUGCUCAAUUUGAUUUGACAUUCAGAUCUGUAAUAUGUUUAUCCUUCUAAUGGGCACUUCUCCCUUUUCCUCGCUGCCUCUCAAAGAUUUAAUAAAUGACGG